Long non-coding RNA from Microtus oregoni (creeping vole), 1166 nucleotides. RefSeq lists it as uncharacterized. The transcript is spliced from 3 exons. NCBI's taxonomy places the organism in Eukaryota, Metazoa, Chordata, Mammalia, Rodentia, Cricetidae. The record is from RefSeq and is a predicted model, not a curated record.
GCUUGCAGCUGCAGGAGGCAUGUUUGCUGAAUGAACAAGUAAAUGAAGGAGCGCGUGAAUGACAGCACGCGUGGGCUGACUGUUGCCGCCUUCUGAGUACCCAGGUUCUAGAGAAUUCUCCAAGUCACCUGCCCCCAAAUGACUCAAAGAUUGAUUUCUUCAUUCCUUCUAAUAUUACCAUCAGCAUCUAACAUCUAACCUUUACAAAAUCAAAAAUGAUGAAAACUAAAUAAUUCAACACAGAGACAGCUAGGCAGAAGACAGAUGGACUAUGCAGUAUGUUUGGUUGUGGGGCUGUCAGCUGUCUCCGUAAUUAAGAACCUAUGCUCACGAGCCAGCUCCACAAUCUCUGAAGACGGGGCUUUGGAGAUAAAGUCAAGGAGGAAUUGAGGAUAAAGGAAAACAGAAAACAGAGACUCUGGAAAAAACUAAGAUGAAAUCAGAAAUGAGUGAAAUAAACAAAACAGAAGAGGAGACUCCUGUUUCUUGGCCAUGAUACUGAAGUUAGCAUUGUGGAUUAUCCUAAUGCUAGGCCAAGAAGGAAAAUAGUCUUCACUGUGUCUCUCUGGCUGCAUACAAGAGUUGUGAGGCCUUCAUUAACCACCCUCUGGAGGAGCAGUUGACUCCAUCAGCCAAACAGCUACUGAAGGUUCACCUAUUUCUGGACAGGGUCUGGCUGCUGUCUCUUGUGGUUCUGGCUCUCCAGGUCGCACCCACCCACUCCCUUGGCUACCAGCAUGUUCUUCCACACCCUUCACAGAGUUUGCCUCACAUCAUUUUUGUUCUCACAUUGUGGUUUCUAUCAAGAAUAUUCUCUGUCCCCAUCUUCCAAGGUUCAGGCUAAUGCUACUUCCUCUAGAAUGUAAGCCUUCCUUGCUGUGCCUGUUACCUGCUUCUCCCUUUACCUGGGCCUUUGCUUAUCUUUAGGAUCCCUAGCUCAUUAUACUUAUCGCCUUUGCCUAACUGUAAAAUUCUUUGGGGGAGGGGAGAGGUGUGCCUCAUACCGUAAUUAAACAUCUCGAGUUGGUGCUCGAUACUUGCUUCUUUGAUUGAUUGAAUGAAUGGCCUGUAUUUAGUAAGACUUGAGAUUCUGUGUAAAUUGCACAGGCUUGGCUUUCUUCCCAACUCCGAGUGAGCUAUUCUUUCCGAGCUGCUUUUGAUUUUAA